GCCUUCCCUUAGGGAUGUGAGUCUUGAGGGCUGGGAACAACCUGAUCCUGAUCACAGCACAGCAAGCGAUGCCUUCAGCGGCCUUGAGCAAGUCACACAUUCCCUAAGUCUGUAAGCAAUUCGUGCCAAUUCCAGACAACUCCAGAUGUGCGUCUUUCCCACCAGUAUCUGCAGAGACUUGGCUCUGGAGACGGCGAUCUGCCUGCCAACAUACUGCCUCCCGGUGCUUUCAGCCCUAAGGGUCGAGUUCCCGUUGCCACGCUCUCAUCCCUGGCUGAGCUGCCAGACAUGCUGUGGGAUGGAGGGCAGACGUGCUGUCUUUCAACUCCCUGCCGUCUUCAAGGGUGUCACCAGAGUCAUGGGGUUCUUAAAGAAGAGUAGAGAAGACACAAGAGAAGAGAAGACACGCUCAAAACACAAAAAACUCAGAACAACAUGACCUGCUACCCUGACAAUUGUAGCUGUGAUGUUCCAGUUCCAGAGAUAUAUGCAAUACUGCCCCGUCCUUGGGAUUCACUGAACACAGUUUAUGUGAUGUUGGUUGCAACUAUUUCCAAUUGCAUAUUAGCACAACUUCUCUGGAUUUUGUCUUGGAAAACUCAGUGACUUUAAGACCUCUGGCAUUAAUAACUGCCCAUUCCAGUCUGAGAAUCUGAACCAAGUGCUGCAAAGUUCUCAUUUUCUUAUGAACUUGCCAGAUGAAACCAGAUGCAUAAUACAGCAAAUCUUUCACACACAGCCUAAACACUGGAUAAGCAAUGAAGACAACUGCAUUUCAGCCCAGAGGUGGCUGCAUUUGAGCCACAAGGAAGUAAUCAAUUUAUAAACAAACUUCUCAAGCACUUUGGGAUGAAAACACUAUACAGAAUCAGUUUAAUCCACUCUUCCAACCUAAAUCAUUCUACGAUUCUAUGAUUCUUAUGUGACAAACUCCCAUUUCAUGUUCUUGUUUUCCUGGUUUUGCUAUGCCUAUUACACUGUGAUUCCAAAUGACUUCACUCUGUGCUGGAACAGCGGUCUGCUACAUUCAAAAAAGCCCCAGCAGAAUAAAAAAACUUGUGAUGGAAAUUGGUCCCCUGCUCAUGCUGAGAAACUGUUCAUCUUCCAUUUCUCUCUGUCUGGUUAACAAGUGUCUACCAGUAAUUUGAUGGCAUUAAUAUGGUUUUGAAUUCUGGGCGUACUUUACCCAUCAGUAGCCUGUUGUAGGCACUGUGUUCUGUUGCAAGACGGUUGCCUUGCUGCGGGCUCCCGGCUGCCUUCAUUUUCUACUCUGAUGCUCUCCUGACUGGAACAUCUUACCUCAUCAGCAGAAACAACCAACCUAUAUAUGAAUGGUUUCAAAUUCUGUGACAAUCUGGUGGUUUGCCCUCCCCUUUUGUUGAACCCCGUAAAAAGGACCAAAAGGAGUGUGUCACCUAGUAGUUAAAUAAUGAGAUCAGAAGCCCUGGACUGCCUUUGGCCUGGGCAAUAUUACUGAAACUAGAUGUCAGAAGAGGUCUAAAUUAGGCAUCUGCUGACUGUGCGAGGCAGCUUCACCCAAAAUCUAAUGCCACCAUGUUACACAACGGCUGCCGCGCCUCCUGUGCCUUUGUUUCCUCAUCUAUAACAUGCAGACAGAAGCAUUCAGCCAUCCAGUGGGGUGUAUUGAGAGUUCACUGGCACUUCUGAAGACUUUAGAAAUUCUUGGAU
Long non-coding RNA from Chroicocephalus ridibundus (black-headed gull), 1689 nucleotides. RefSeq lists it as uncharacterized. The transcript has 3 exons. Lineage: Eukaryota; Metazoa; Chordata; Aves; Charadriiformes; Laridae. The record is from RefSeq and is a predicted model, not a curated record.